This 433-nucleotide ribosomal RNA is filed under the name uncultured bacterium. RNAcentral describes it as "partial 16S ribosomal RNA". It matches the Rfam family "Bacterial small subunit ribosomal RNA", at positions 29 to 507 of the family's 1533-position model. The record is from RNAcentral.
AACGAACGCUGGCGGCAUGCCUAACACAUGCAAGUCGAACGAGACCUUCGGGUCUAGUGUCGCCCGGGUUCGUAACGCGUGGGAACCUUCCCUUAGGUUCGGACUAACUCCCCGACAGGGGUACUAAUACCGGAUAAUGUCUUCUGACCAAAGAUUUAUCAACUUUGUAUGGGCCCGCGUUGGAUUCGCUAGUGCGUAGGGUAAAAGCCUACCAAGGCGACGAUCCAUAGCUUGUUUGAGAGGAAGAUUAGCCACACUGGGACUGGGACACGGCCCAGACUCCUCCGGGAGGCAGCAGUGGGUAAUAUUGGACCAUGGGCGAAAUGCUGAUCCAGCAAUGACGCGUGAGUGAUGAAGGCCUUAGGGUUGUAAAGCGCUUUUACCCGGGCUGAUAAUGACAGUACCGGGAGAAUAAGCUCCGGCUAACUCCGUG